This 1960-nucleotide small RNA is filed under the name Pan troglodytes (chimpanzee). RNAcentral's name for it is "retained intron". The record is from RNAcentral. Lineage: Eukaryota; Metazoa; Chordata; Mammalia; Primates; Hominidae.
AAAUUUCCUUUUGAUGAAGUCGUUGACUAAAGCGUCAUUAAAACAAAACAAAAAAAGAAUUCCAAAAACCCUCCAAAAUUCCUUUUUAAAGAUAGGAAGGCAUACCUGCUGUCAUUUUAUAGGUAGAACACUAAAACACAGUAAAUUACCUGGCCUCCAACUUGGUAGUCUGAUUUUUUUCUGCCUUGGUCUGGUGUUUUUGUGGUUUUGUUCUUACUUUUUGUGAGUUGUGAGGGGUUUUUUGUUGUUUAUUUUUUGUUAGGUGUAUAGACACACUUUUGGAUGUCAUAUUUAACAGGGAAAGCAUAGAGUCAUGGGCCUGAAUAACAGUUGAGUACAAAUAUUUAUAAAUUAGUUGAAGUAACUUUGAUUUCAAUGUUAUAUUUUAAAGUCUAGGUUAUUUUACUACAGAGCAUUACAAUGAUAAAAUAUUUCAUCUUUUUUUUUUUUUUAGCUUGUCAGCUCAUUUGCAGCUUACGUUUACUGGUUUCUUCCACAAAAAUGGUAUGUACUUAAAAGUAAAUAAAGUGGCAUUUUAAUAGCAAGAUACCUUUGUGAAUGUAAAAAAAGUGGGGCUUCUGAGUGUAAAUUUAUAAAAUUAAGUUUAAUGGAAAAUAUGUUGAUUCUGAUGUUUUUGAGCUUUAAGGUAUGAAGGCUAAUGAUGAAAUUUGUUUUUGGUGGAUGGUAGGGCAGAGUGAAGGCUGGAGUGCAAUGUUAUGAUCUUGGCUGACUGCAGCCUCCACCUCCCGGGUUCAAGCGAUUCUCCUGCCUCAGCCUCCUGAGUAGCUGGGAUUACAGGCACGCGCCCCAUACCUGGCUAAUUUUUUGUAUUUUUAGUAGAGACAGGGUCUCACCAUGCUGGCCAGGCUGGUCUUGAACUCCUGACCUCGUGAUCCACCCGCCUUGGCCUCCCAAGGGGGCAUGAGCCACCACGCCUGGCUAAUGAUGAAGAUUUUAACAAAUUGUCUUAGAACUUCAAUAGGUAAAGAAUCUCCUCAGUAGAACCUUUUAUGCAUAAACAUUUUGAAUUAAUGAUACUGUAUCAUGUUUUAAAAAAAAACAGUAAAACAACUGAAAUAACCACUAUUACCAAUGGCAUAUAUUAAUAUUUUAGAUAUUAUUCAAAGGAAAUUAUAUGGUAUAUUACUCCAGUAAAAGCUCAAAGCAUGCUGGAAAUAAUUAGAGUUGUUUUAAAAAUAGAAAAAUACGGCCAGGCGCAGUGGCUCACGCCUGUAAUCCCAACAUUUUGGGAGGCUGAGGCGGGUGUAUCAUGAGGUCAGGAGUUCAGGAUGUUCAGGAGUUCAGCUGGCCAAUAUGAUGAAACCCCAUCUCUACUAAAAAUAUAAACAUUAGCCAGGCGUGGUGGUGGGUGCCUGUAGUCCCAGUUACUUGGGAGACUUAGGCAGAAGAAUCACUUGAACCUGAGAGUCGGAGGUUGCAAUGAGCUGAGAUUGUGUUACUGCACUCCAGCCUGGGCGACAGAGCGAGACUCCAUCUCAAAAAAAAAAAAAAAGGGAAAAUCAGUUAUCAGCUUAUCCAUCAUAAGUCUGUGUAUAUGGCAUAUCUUUUUAUUAUGCAAUGGAAUAAAACCAUUAUUAGAAACAUGCCAGGUUGGUUGUCUUGGUAUCGUUUAGUAAGAAACAAAGAUUGAAAAUGAGUCCUGGUGGGCCGGGCACGGUGGCUCACGCCUGUAAUCCCAGCACUUUGGGAGGCUGAGGCGGGUGGAUCACAAGGUCAGGAGAUCGAGACUAUCCUGGCUAACAUGGUGAAACCCCGUCUCUACUAAAAUACAAAAAAACUAGCUGGGCGUCAUGGUGCACACCUGUAGUCCCAGCUACUUGGGAGGCUGAGGCAGGGGAAUCGCUUGAACCCGGGAGUUGGAGGUUGUAGUGAGCCAAGAUCAUCCCACUGCACUCCAGCCUGGUGACAGAGCGAGACUCUGUCUAAAAAAAAAGAAAAA